Dipodomys spectabilis (banner-tailed kangaroo rat) is the source of this 450-nucleotide long non-coding RNA. RefSeq lists it as uncharacterized. Lineage: Eukaryota; Metazoa; Chordata; Mammalia; Rodentia; Heteromyidae. The transcript has 3 exons. The record is from RefSeq and is a predicted model, not a curated record.
CAUACCCUCCCCUACCCACCUUCCUUGGGGUGGAGAUUCUGGAUGUACUCACCAUUGGGAAGAUGAGGCAUUACAGAGACGGGGGAGAAGGGAGAUGGACACUCCUUCUGUCCUGGGUACCCCUGGACCGAGUUAUCAGCAAUCCUCCCAACAUCUUCUACCGGGACAUGUAGCAGCUGGCCUCAGAAAUCCGCAGGUCCUCAGGACUUCCUGGCAGCUCAGGUUUCUGGAAGCUGGUGUACUAAGACUGUGAACCCUAUAUGGAUUGGGCACAUUGUAGGCCGUGAGUUGAAAUCCCAGCAUGGACAGAAAUUCAUUCGUGGAGUACAAAGCCAAAUUUGUCACAUUUUUUUUCCUUCUCUGUAAAAGUCCUAGGUCUCAAGACAAUGUAUAAUCCAUAUCAAAUAUAUCCUAUGUGAUAUGAUGUCAUAAAAGAAUCUUAUAAGUGAA